Molecule: small nuclear RNA, 107 nt
Organism: Suricata suricatta (meerkat)
Lineage: Eukaryota; Metazoa; Chordata; Mammalia; Carnivora; Herpestidae
Source: Ensembl
GAGCUCACUUCAGCAGCACGUAUACUAUAACUGGAACAAUACAGAGAAGAUUAGCAUGGCCCUUGUGCAAGAAUGACAUGCAAAUUCAUGAAGCCUUCCAUAUUUUG